CCCUUAGAUGUUCUGGGCUGCACGCGCGCUACACUGAUGCACUCAACGAGUUUACGACCUUGCCCGAUAGGGUUGGGUAAUCUUUUUAAAAUGCAUCGUGAUGGGGAUAGAUUAUUGCAAUUAUUAAUCUUCAACGAGGAAUUCCUAGUAAGCGCGAGUCAUCAGCUCGUGCUGAUUACGUCCCUGCCCUUUGUACACACCGCCCGUCGCUCCUACCGAUUGAGUGCUCAGGUGAAUAAUUCGGACUGCAGCAAUGUUUGGAUCCCGAACGUUGCAGCGGAAAGUUUAGUGAACCUUAUCAUUUAGAGGAAGUAAAAGUCGUAACA
RNAcentral lists this ribosomal RNA (326 nucleotides) under uncultured eukaryote. RNAcentral's name for it is "partial 18S ribosomal RNA". It matches the Rfam family "Eukaryotic small subunit ribosomal RNA", at positions 1470 to 1796 of the family's 1831-position model. The record is from RNAcentral.